This is a long non-coding RNA of Mastomys coucha (southern multimammate mouse), 446 nucleotides long. RefSeq lists it as uncharacterized. NCBI's taxonomy places the organism in Eukaryota, Metazoa, Chordata, Mammalia, Rodentia, Muridae. The record is from RefSeq and is a predicted model, not a curated record. The transcript is spliced from 2 exons.
GCAGGUGCCCACAACCAUCUUGCCAUUUUUACUCAGGUCGUCAUACAGGCUAUGUAUGUAUCUUCUCUGGAGAAUGGAACUCAACUUUGAAGAUGCAUGAAACGGAAAACAAAAGACAACUCAAGUAACUAAGGAGGAAAAAGAAAGUGACUUCUCCCCCUAAAAAUGAGUUUAAGAAGAAGGAAAGUCUUUUUUCACAAAGAAGUUGUGAGACCGCAUGCCCCAUUCAUACUGAGUGCAAAUGAAUGAAGAAUGAUCUCCCACUCAUACAUACUGGGUGCAAAUGAAUGAAUAUUACUGAUGCUCUCCCAGUCAACUAAACUCCAUCCAGACACAUCCACCAAUAUAAAUUCAAACAAGUUGCCAAAUAAGAUGCAUAUAGCGCUCAAUGCCUAUUGAAUGGAUGCAUAAAACCCUAUGAGAAUAAAAUUUCCCUUAUCCUUCAA